This 489-nucleotide ribosomal RNA is filed under the name uncultured bacterium. RNAcentral's name for it is "partial 16S ribosomal RNA". It matches the Rfam family "Bacterial small subunit ribosomal RNA", at positions 28 to 506 of the family's 1533-position model. The record is from RNAcentral.
GAUGAACGCUAGCUACAGGCUUAACACAUGCAAGUCGCGGGGCAGCAUGGGGGUUGCUUGCAAUCCCCGAUGGCGACCGGCGCACGGGUGAGUAACGCGUAUCCAACCUGCCCUUCACCACGGGAUAACCCGGCGAAAGUCGGACUAAUACCGUAUGUUGUCCAUUGACGGCAUCCGAUUUGGACGAAAGGUUUGGCGGUGAAGGAUGGGGAUGCGUCCGAUUAGCUGGACGGCGGGGUGACGGCCCACCGUGGCGACGAUCGGUAGGGGUUCUGAGAGGAAGGUCCCCCACACUGGAACUGAGACACGGUCCAGACUCCUACGGGAGGCAGCAGUGAGGAAUAUUGGUCAAUGGGCGUAAGCCUGAACCAGCCAAGUAGCGUGCAGGAUGACGGCCCUAUGGGUUGUAAACUGCUUUUAUGCGGGGAUAAAGUGGCCCACGUGUGGGUUUUUGCAGGUACCGCAUGAAUAAGGACCGGCGAAUUCCGU